AUGCACGCUGGCGGCGUGCCUCAUACCUGCCAGUCGCGCGAACAGACGAGGAGCUUGCUCCUCUGACGUUAGCGGCGGACGGGUGAGUAACACGUGGAUAACCUACCUAUAAGACUGGGAUAACUUCGGGAAACCGGAGCUAAUACCGGAUAAUAUAUUGAACCGCAUGGUUCAAUAGUGAAAGACGGUUUUGCUGUCACUUAUAGAUGGAUCCGCGCUGCAUUAGCUAGUUGGUAAGGUAACGGCUUACCAAGGCGACGAUGCGUAGCCGACCUGAGAGGGUGAUCGGCCACACUGGAACUGAGACACGGUCCAGACUCCUACGGGAGGCAGCAGUAGGGAAUCUUCCGCAAUGGGCGAAAGCCUGACGGAGCAACGCCGCGUGAGUGAUGAAGGUCUUCGGAUCGUAAAACUCUGUUAUUAGGGAAGAACAAAUGUGUAAGUAACUAUGCACGUCUUGACGGUACCUAAUCAGAAAGCCACGGCUAACUACGUG
Molecule: ribosomal RNA, 496 nt
Filed under: uncultured bacterium
Lineage: Bacteria
Description: partial 16S ribosomal RNA
Rfam family: Bacterial small subunit ribosomal RNA
Source: RNAcentral